AUGAAGCGAGAAGUCGACGCGCCAUCUUUGGCGUCCGGCCCUCCGCAAGCGCCCGCGGGAGUUCGGGUUCCGGACCCGGUCCGAUCCCGUUCCCUCCGUGGGGCUGUUUGCGAUCAGGAGGUGUCCUCGGACGGCGUCGUUUUUCUCCAGUCCGCGACGCUACGGCUUGGAUGGCCUACCCGACCCGUCUUGAAACACGGACCAAGGAGUCUAACAUGCGCGCGAGUCGUUGGGUCGGACGCGCUCCGCUAAACCCAUAGGCGAAAUGAAAGUGAAGGCCCCUCUUGGGUGCCGAGGGAGGACGGAGCGAGUCCCCUCGUGGGACGGCUCCCGCACUCCCGGGGCGUCUGAUUCCUCAUUGCGAGGGAAGGCGCACCCAGAGCGCACACGUUGGGACCCGAAAGAUGGUGAACUAUGCCUGGCCAGGACGAAGUCAGGGGAAACCCUGAUGGAGGUCCGUAGCGAUUCUGACGUGCAAAUCGAUCGUCGGAGCUGGGGAUAGGGGCGAAAGACUAAUCGAACCAUCUAGUAGCUGGUUCCCUCCGAAGUUUCCCUCAGGAUAGCUUGCGCUCGGAGGAGAGUCUCAUCCGGUAAAGCGAAUGAUUAGAGGCCUUGGGGCCGAAACGGCUUCAACCUAUUCUCAAACUUUAAAUGGGUGAGAACUCCGGCUUGCUCGAUGAAUUCAAUGAAGCCGGAGACGGGGCCACGAGCCCCCAGGAUCGGAGUGCAUAGUGGGCCACUUUUGGUAAGCAGAACUGGCGCUGUGGGAUGAACCAAACGACGGGUUAAGGCGCCCGAAUCGACGCUCAUGGGAAACCAUGAAAGGUGUUGGUUGCUUAAGACAGCAGGACGGUGGCCAUGGAAGUCGGAAUCCGCUAAGGAGUGUGUAACAACUCACCUGCCGAAGCAACUAGCCCUGAAAAUGGAUGGCGCUGAAGCGUCGUGCCUAUACCCGGCCGUCGCGGCAGGGCGGGCCCCGUGAGGGGUGCCGCUUGAUGCGGCGACGAGUAGGAGGGUCGCGGCGGCGUGCGCAGAAGGGUCUGGGCUCGAGCCUACCUGGAGCCGCCGCCGGUGCAGAUCUUGGUGGUAGUAGCAAAUACUCCAGCGAGGCCCUGGAGGACUGAUGUGGAGAAGGGUUUCGUGUGAACAGCCGUUGCACACGAGUCAGUCGAUCCUAAGCCCUAGGAGAAAUCCGAUACCAACGGCGAUGGGACGAACGAAAAAGAGAAAAAAACCCAUUGAUCGGGCGAAAGGGAAUCCGGUUCCUAUUCCGGAACCCGGCAGCGGAACCGCUGUUUGUCGGGCCCUCACAAGGGGUUCGUCAGGGUAACCUAAAAGGGCCCGGAGACGCCGUCGGGAGCCCCGGAAAGAGUUUUCUUUUCUGCAUGAGCGUUCGAGUUCCCUG
Molecule: ribosomal RNA, 1405 nt
Filed under: Perilestes kahli
Lineage: Eukaryota; Metazoa; Arthropoda; Insecta; Odonata; Perilestidae
Description: eukaryotic LSU rRNA
Rfam family: Eukaryotic large subunit ribosomal RNA
Source: RNAcentral